UAUAGAUGUAGAUGAAACAGAUCAGUCUCUUUAGAUGUAGGUGAUGUUGAGCAGGUUGUAAUGUGGUAUCUGUCCAGCAGAGGGCAGCAUCUCAUUACUGACCUGUGUCCUUCACUCGUUUCAACUUCCAGCCUUCUUUCCUCCACCUCCACCGCCGCCAUGUUUUUUUCUGCCCCCACUGAACAUCCGUCAACAAGGACUCAAGAGCAUCGAGGAGGCUCCACUGUCAGGACUGGUCAGCCAGACCUGAUCCACCAGGGUCCAUGAGGAUCCACCAGGAUCCACCAGGGUCCACCAGGGUCCAUGAGGAUCCACCAGGGUCCACCAGGGUCCACGAGGAUCCACCAGGGUCCACGACUGGCUGUUUCCUACCUUCCCUCCAGUCGAACUGCAGAGUCACUGUUCAGAGACUGUCGAGUCCAGGUGAGUCCAGGCAUCAUGGGAAACGUAGGAAACCGCCGUCUGGAACAGCGGCGGGGUCAGGAGACAGUGGAGCGACAUCACUUCCUCUCUGCAGCUGGAAUGUGCCGACUGGGAGGAGCGCACAGGAAGAGGAAGUGGAGCCUCCUACCGCCGCUGCAGGGAGAGGUCAGAGGUCACACAACGGUAUCGGGGUCUCACCUUUCAGCCCGUUACCAUGGAGACAAAACCAAGAGAGCGUGGACGUGAUGGUGAACAAGGUUCUUGAUCUCCGUGGUAACUGGUUCUAGGACCGGGUUCAAAGAAGACCAGGAGUCCUGGAGAAAGUUCCAGCAGGUCCUGACUUGUUCUCAGAAGACGUUCUUGCAAAGGUUCUAAGGAUCAGAGCGGAGGUUCUCUUCACAGCUCAAACUCCUGGAUGUUCACAGGUUCUUCAGCAGGUUCUACCAGUCUGUGGUGAGGUUCUGUGAUUUCCGAGGUUCUUUAUUUGGUUAUGAGAGUUGCUGGUGAAAUUGCAGGUGUUCUGGAGGUUCUUCAGGAGGAUCUCUGAGUCGUUCGGGAGGUUCCAGGAGUUUCACAGAGGUCCUCAGGUAAAUUCUGAGAGUCACCGGCUCCUGAGUUUCAGAGGUUCUUCAAGAGGUUCUAAGAUUUGUUGCUGAGGUCCAGGAAGUUUUGAAGCUACUUGAAGAUGAUCACAGGCUUGUUGGUGAGGUUCUUGGAGUUUCAGAGGUUCUUGAGGAGGUUCUGAGAGCUGUUGGUGUUAUUCCGAGAGUUUGUUGAGGAGCUUUAGAGAGAGGGAGGCUCUUACAAUCGUGAUGGAGGUUCUUUGGCAGGUUCUACAGGAGGUUUUCAGAAGAACUGCUGAGACUCCAGGGCUCAGUGACGUUCUCCGUCAGCUCCGGUCCUCGGUCAGAGUCCAGGAGUGUCAGAGGUCGUUAAGGAGGAACCAGGCGUCGGGGAGGAGCUGCCAGAUGUCUAUAACGGGGUUCCCUGAGACUCCAGGAGGUUUCAAGGUUCCUGACUGGAGUCCCAGAGGUUCUACAGCCGGUUCCACAAGCUCUGGAAUAGUUUCCAGGGUGCUGUGGUAUGAUGGAGUGAGCUUGGCCAAUCAGGAGCCGGAUAUGUCCAAUGUGACAAGCUGGGACCUGAAUCAUCAUGCCGAGGACCGACUGCCAUCACCAUGGCAACCGCUGAGAUGUCUCCCCUCCAUCAGGUAUGAAGAAAAGACGAGAGCUGCUGCUGAUCCAGGUUCAGCUGGUGAACUCCACCAAUCAGCAGAAUCAACAACAGUGACAUCACUGCAGCAACCUUCAAUGUGAAGAUCGCCGAUGCAGACUCCCAUCAUGCAA
This is a long non-coding RNA of Seriola aureovittata, 1769 nucleotides long. RefSeq lists it as uncharacterized. NCBI's taxonomy places the organism in Eukaryota, Metazoa, Chordata, Actinopteri, Carangiformes, Carangidae. The record is from RefSeq and is a predicted model, not a curated record. The transcript is spliced from 6 exons.